RNAcentral lists this ribosomal RNA (429 nucleotides) under Acidobacteriota bacterium. RNAcentral describes it as "Acidobacteria bacterium partial 16S ribosomal RNA". It matches the Rfam family "Bacterial small subunit ribosomal RNA", at positions 355 to 776 of the family's 1533-position model. The record is from RNAcentral. Lineage: Bacteria; Pseudomonadati; Acidobacteriota.
UGGGGAAUUUUGGACAAUGGGGGAAACCCUGAUCCAGCCAUCCCGCGUGUGCGAUGAAGGCCUUCGGGUUGUAAAGCACUUUUGGCAGGAAAGAAACGUCAUGGGUUAAUACCCCGUGAAACUGACGGUACCUGCAGAAUAAGCACCGGCUAACUACGUGCCAGCAGCCGCGGUAAUACGUAGGGUGCAAGCGUUAAUCGGAAUUACUGGGCGUAAAGCGUGCGCAGGCGGUUCGGAAAGAAAGAUGUGAAAUCCCAGAGCUCAACUUUGGAACUGCAUUUUUAACUACCGGGCUAGGUUGUGUCAGAGGGAGGUGGAAUUCCGCGUGUAGCAGUGAAAUGCGUAGAUAUGCGGAGGAACACCGAUGGCGAAGGCAGCCUCCUGGGAUAACACUGACGCUCAUGCACGAAAGCGUGGGGAGCAAACAGG